Long non-coding RNA from Aedes albopictus (Asian tiger mosquito), 842 nucleotides. RefSeq lists it as uncharacterized. The transcript is spliced from 2 exons. The record is from RefSeq and is a predicted model, not a curated record. Lineage: Eukaryota; Metazoa; Arthropoda; Insecta; Diptera; Culicidae.
CAAGUACGCUUUUGCAUUCAUAAUGUUUCACUGUAAAAAUGUUAUUAUAUAUGUUUUUAUAUUUUCGUCAUUAAAAUGCAUGUAAAUUCGUUUUCUAAAUUUAUUCAUAUAUCUAAUCACCGCUACACAAGAUCAAUCAUUUCUGCUUCUAAGAGUUGCAUCUGACAUACAGUCUAUUUCUGAGUUCCCAACUACCAGUUACACGCGCUAAACUUCUGAGACCCAAGCCAACCGCGCGUCAUGAUGCUAAACGAAAUUAUCCAUUUAGCGGGCAACAACCUGCGAAGGCUUCCUUUGAAGAUGCAUUGACCUUUGCAUUUCGGCUCUGAGCAAUCCGUCCAAACUACGGAGAGAAACUUGACUGGGGGGAAUUGAAUAGACUGACAGAAAGAGAUGUCGCGAUGUCACCUAAAUUACGUGUGCACAAUUGCGAGCAGUUAAUGAUCGGGAAUCUACCUUCGGGCAGAUUCGCGACCUUCAGAGAUGAUGACCCUGAAAUCGCGACUAUCUGAGGCUUCCUUCAAUUUCAAUCAGCCACUUCGAUUCGAUCCGUGGAAGAGGCAAAAGUGGUCGGAAAUUUUGUGCCGCGUCGUGGUGUAAUUUGGAAGGUAGUGACGAUAUGGUGGCCCUAGUUAGAUAGUAAUUAAUUACCUUUCCCUUUAGAUAGAAUUCGACAUAGCGAAAUUGUAGUCGAUUAAGUGGCGGCAAAGUGCGUGAAUUGAGUGCGUUUAAGGUUCGUGGCAGCCGGGCAUUUGCCGUUACACCACCAUCCCACUAGAGACCGCUUUUGACCCCAUCGAUCGGCAUCGAAGGUCCCGGGGCACACGUGGCCGGAAGAGGGC